This 204-nucleotide ribosomal RNA is filed under the name uncultured bacterium. Its description in RNAcentral is "partial 16S ribosomal RNA". It matches the Rfam family "Bacterial small subunit ribosomal RNA", at positions 1288 to 1500 of the family's 1533-position model. The record is from RNAcentral.
CUCAUUCGGAUUGGAGUCUGCAACCCGACUCCAUGAAGCUGGAUUCGCUGUAAUCGCGCAUCAGCCACGGCGCGGUGAAUACGUUCCCGGGCCUUGUACACACCGCCCGUCAAGCCAUGGAAGCCGGGAGUGCCUGAAGUACGCGACCGCAAGGAGCGUCCUAAGGUAAAACCGGUGACUGGGGCUAAGUCGUAACAAGGUAUC